UUAAGUUAACAAGGGCGCAUGGUGAAUGCCUUGGCACUAGGAGCCGAUGAAGGACGGGACUAACACCGAUAUGCUUCGGGGAGCUGUACGUAAGCUAUGAUCCGGAGAUUUCCGAAUGGGGCAACCCAGCAGUUUUAAUCAACUGUUACCACUAGAUGAAUUCAUAGUCUAGUUGGAGGUAAACGCUGUGAACUGAAACAUCUCAUUAGCAGCAGGAAUAUAAAGAAAUUUCGAUUCCCUAAGUAGCGGCGAGCGAACGGGGAACAGCCCAAACCAAAGUGCUUGCACUUUGGGGUUGUAGGACUGAACAUUUGAGUUACCAAAGAACUUGAUAGUCGAAGGAUUUGGGAAAAUCCGCCAUAGAUGGUGAUAGCCCAGUAGAUUAAAUCAAAUUCUCUCAGUUCAGGAUCCUGAGUACGGCGGAACACGUGAAAUUCCGUCGGAAUCCGGGAGGACCAUCUCCCAAGGCUAAAUACUACCUAGUGACCGAUAGUGAACCAGUACCGUGAGGGAAAGGUGAAAAGCACCCCGGGAGGGGAGUGAAAUAGUUCCUGAAACCAUGUGCCUACAAUAAGUCAGAGCGCGUUAAUGCGUGAUGGCGUGCCUUUUGUAGAAUGAACCGGCGAGUUAUGAUCCCGUGCAAGGUUAAGACUAAAAAGUCGGAGCCGUAGCGAAAGCGAGUCUGAAAUGGGCGUUUUGAGUACGAGGUUAUAGACCCGAAACCAGGUGACCUAUCCAUGUCCAGGUUGAAGGUGCGGUAAAACGCACUGGAGGACCGAACCCGUGUAAGUUGAAAAUUGCUGGGAUGAGGUGUGGAUAGCGGUGAAAUUCCAAACGAACUUGGAGAUAGCUGGUUCUCUCCGAAAUAGCUUUAGGGCUAGCCUCGGAAUUAGGAUCAUGGAGGUAGAGCACUAUUUGGACUAGGGGCCCGUCUUGGGUUACUGAAUUCAGAUAAACUCCGAAUGCCAUUGAUUCAUAUCCGGGAGUCAGACGAUGAGUGAUAAGAUCCACCGUCGAAAGGGGAACAGCCCAGACCAUCAGUUAAGGUCCCUAAAUGUAUGCUAAGUGGAAAAGGAUGUGGAGUUGCAUAGACAACUAGGAUGUUGGCUCAGAAGCAGCCACCAUUUAAAGAGUGCGUAAUAGCUCACUAGUCGAGUGAUCCUGCGCCGAAAAUGUACCGGGGCUAAGCAUACUACCGAAACCAUGGAUGCGACCAUUAGGUCGCGUGAUAGGAGAGCGUUCUAAGGGCGGUGAAGCAAGAUCGUGAGGACUUGUGGAGCGCUUAGAAGUGAGAAUGCCGGUAUGAGUAGCGAAAGAUAGGUGAGAAUCCUAUCCACCGAAUGACUAAGGUUUCCUGGGGAAGGCUCGUCCUCCCAGGGUUAGUCGGGACCUAAGUCGAGGCCGAGAGGCGUAGACGAUGGAUAACAGGUUGAGAUUCCUGUACUAGUUAAGUGCGUUUGAGCAAUGGAGGGACGCAGGAGGCUAAGAUGUGCAUUCUGUUGGAUUAGAAUGUCCAAGCAGUAAGUCUUGUGAAGAGUCAAAUGCUUUUCACUUUAAGGACAAGCUGUGAUGGGGAGCGAAAUUUAGUAGCGAAGCGUCUGAUGUCACACUGCCGAGAAAAGCUUCUAGUGAGUACUUAACUACCCGUACCGCAAACCGACACAGGUAGUCGAGGAGAGAAUCCUAAGGUGAGCGAGUGAACUCUCGUUAAGGAACUCGGCAAAAUGACCCCGUAACUUCGGGAGAAGGGGUGCUGAUCGCAAGAUCAGCCGCAGUGAAUAGGCCCAGGCGACUGUUUAUCAAAAACACAGGUCUCUGCAAAAUCGUAAGAUGACGUAUAGGGGCUGACGCCUGCCCGGUGCUGGAAGGUUAAAAGGAUGGGUUAGCUUCGGCGAAGCUCAGAAUUGAAGCCCCAGUAAACGGCGGCCGUAACUAUAACGGUCCUAAGGUAGCGAAAUUCCUUGUCGGGUAAGUUCCGACCCGCACGAAAGGCGUAACGAUCUGGGCACUGUCUCAACGAGAGACUCGGUGAAAUUAUAUUGUCCGUGAAGAUGCGGACUACCCGCGACAGGACGGAAAGACCCCAUGGAGCUUUACUGUAGCUUGAUAUUGAGUGUUUGUACAGCUUGUACAGGAUAGGUAGGAGCCAUAGAAACCGGAACGCUAGUUUCGGUGGAGGCGUUGGUGGGAUACUACCCUCGCUGUAUGACCACUCUAACCCGCACCACUAAUCGUGGUGGGAGACAGUGUCAGGUGGGCAGUUUGACUGGGGCGGUCGCCUCCUAAAAAGUAACGGAGGCGCCCAAAGGUUCCCUCAGAAUGGUUGGAAAUCAUUCGCAGAGUGUAAAGGCACAAGGGAGCUUGACUGCGAGACAGACAGGUCGAGCAGGGACGAAAGUCGGGCUUAGUGAUCCGGUGGUACCGUAUGGAAGGGCCAUCGCUCAACGGAUAAAAGCUACCCUGGGGAUAACAGGCUUAUCUCCCCCAAGAGUCCACAUCGACGGGGAGGUUUGGCACCUCGAUGUCGGCUCAUCGCAUCCUGGGGCUGUAGUCGGUCCCAAGGGUUGGGCUGUUCGCCCAUUAAAGCGGUACGCGAGCUGGGUUCAGAACGUCGUGAGACAGUUCGGUCCCUAUCCGUCGCGGGCGUAGGAAAUUUGAGAGGACCUGUCCUUAGUACGAGAGGACCGGGAUGGACAUACCUCUGGUGUACCAGUUGUGCCGCCAGGCGCAUCGCUGGGUAGCUACGUAUGGAUGUGAUAAACGCUGAAAGCAUCUAAGUGUGAAACACACCUCGAGAUGAGAUUUCCCAUUCCUUUAUGGAAGUAAGACCCCUGAAAGAUGAUCAGAUAGAUAGGUUAGAAGUGGCAGUGCGGUGACGCAUGAAGCGGACUAAUACUAAUCGGUCGAGGACUUAACCAA
This 2919-nucleotide ribosomal RNA is filed under the name Lactiplantibacillus plantarum. Its description in RNAcentral is "Lactobacillus plantarum 23S ribosomal RNA". It matches the Rfam family "Bacterial large subunit ribosomal RNA". The record is from RNAcentral. Lineage: Bacteria; Bacillati; Bacillota; Bacilli; Lactobacillales; Lactobacillaceae.